Molecule: ribosomal RNA, 253 nt
Filed under: uncultured bacterium
Lineage: Bacteria
Description: partial 16S ribosomal RNA
Rfam family: Bacterial small subunit ribosomal RNA
Source: RNAcentral
UACGUAGGGAGCAAGCGUUGUCCGGAUUUACUGGGCGUAAAGGGCGCGUAGGCGGCCUGUUAAGUGUGAAGUGAAAUCCCCGAGCUCAACUCGGAAACUGCUUCGCAUACUGGCAGACUGGAGGAAGGUAGAGGUAAGUAGAAUUCCCGGUGUAACGGUGACAUGUAAAAAUAUCGGGAGGAAUACCAAUGGCGAAGGCAGCUUACUGGACCUUUCCUGACGCUGAGGCGCGAAAGCGUGGGUAGCAAACAGG